CAAGCUAGUUUCAGCAGAAAAGAACUUAUGAGGUCACUAAAGCAUCCCACGGUGCUCAGAGACUCAGGAAAAUUCUAGAACUGAAGAUGGGUUAAGCCACAGACACUGCUUCUCAUCUCCAUACCUCCGAGCUCCUGACAGGCUGCAGCUGGUAACGCCUCCCCCUCCUGGCCCAGCUUGCCUAGCUGCCCUCACCUUGACAACCACAGAAAAGCCAAAGACUGCACACAUGUGCACCACACUAUUUAUCCUCCUGCCUGUGUUUGCUACAGUAGCCCCACAAAAAACAUAACAAGGCCACAACAGAGAUGCGACACGUGCCAUGUACCAACUCCCCACACUUCUCAAGGAGGAAAGGCACCUGGUGAUGUUCUGCAGUUCAUCCCCUGCAGCACCUGAGCACCCUUCUCUCUCAGCAUACAUCCCUGCCUGCUGGAGGAAAGCCAGGGACCUGCACGAAACAUCAGCACGCGGCGUCCCAGCCCAUGCAGUUGUCAUGGACAACAGGAGUUCAGAGGAAAGUGUGGGGCAUGUAGACCAUAUGGGCUGCAGGAAUUCAGGUAGCUAUCAGAGUCCAGGAUGAUUUAGGGAAAGGAGUUUACAAAACAGGCUUAUUUUGGAAAGGGCCUGGCACACCGUAGGUUUUCAGUAAAUAUUGACCAAAUCGAUGCAUAAUUCUGCAAUUCCUAAGGAGGAGGUUGAUGGGAACUAAGGAAUCAAGGAAAGAGGAGAGAGAGGGAAUGUUUGGAUCACUCCUGGAUGGGGUGUUUUCAACAUAAAACCCAUGCAGCUGAAAGGUCGUUAUCUUCAGACACAGUAUCCAGGGAAAAACCAAAUAUGACAUUGAAAAUAAGCUCAUGGCAAAUACAACAUCACUGAAGGAAGCAAGAACCUUUGUAAUGCUCCAGGGAGGAGUCCAGCCGCCGUCAUCCCCAGUCAGCCUGCAGGGCGCUGGCCAGCCUUACCAGAGCUGGGAAAGGGCCUGGCUGGACUCCCAGCUACACACAUGUAAGAUGAUGCUGACCAAACUGAGGGCCUCACACGGCAUUUGUUCUCUGCACAGAGCACCAUCAUCCCAGCCCAAGCCUCUUCCUGUUCUAUUUAUUUCUGAAAAUAGAUUGCUGUACCUGCAACUUUUAUUCCUUUGGGGAACCAUCCCUUCUGCUCUCCUUGUGGUCCUGUGGGACUACCAGUCACUGUUUCCCUCCUCUAGCCCCAGACUCUCACCACAGAGGUGGGCAGCUGUGCCCAGCUGAAAGAACUACAGUGCCACAUCUCCCCAAACACAGUAACUGGUAUAGGUGUACACAACUUAGCAAGGCGUCUCAUUUCCAGGCGCAUAUACAUAGGUGUGGAGAGGAGGCUUGCUUUCCACUGACUGCCAAGCUGGGGCCACGUAAGCCUGGAGUUGCUAGCAGCCAUUUUCCCUGACUAUAUGAAGGAAGCCCACCUGUAGUAGGGGAGAAUUAGACUCACACAUGAACAAACAAUCAGAUAGAGCAGAACCAAGAGAAGGAGGAGAGAGAAAGACCAUCAUUUGUGUUGCUGGAUCUGACCUUACCUGAAGGCAAGCACCCCUGAAUGUCUCACUUUGUGAGUCAAACAACCUUUUCAGCUUGAGGGGUUUGCCUGUUGUGUACAAUCAAGAAUACCAAUGAAUAUAGCUUUCUUCCUGAGACACUCCCCCAGAUUGACCCACAUACCUGAGCAAACUCACCUCCUCCAACUCCAUGCCAAGUGUCUAAGGUGUCUAAGAUUAUAGUCUGCAUGUAAGAGCUGGCCAGGCAACAGUAAGCUAGAAGAAGGGAAAUCACAGUUGGGCCCCGCCUCUAUACUUCAACCCAACCCCCAGGGAUAUACCUCCCACUACAGGCUUUUGUUUCCCCACCUUAGGAAGCUUGGAAUACAAGAGGCACAACUGUCAUCUCCCCAAGUCCAAGAGCACCUCCUGGAGUCCCAGACCGUCUCUCCUCCCAAAUGGGAAAAAGUCCUCUGCAAACCCACUAUUCACCCCACCCUAAGUGGCAGAAACAUGGGGGCAGAAGCAUGGUCUUUCUGGGUGGAGUAGGGAUGCUCCUCUAAGUGGUACUCCCACCCACUCUUCAUUUCUUCAAAAAUUGUGUAUUUAGUCCUUACCUUGUGCCAGGCACUAUGCUAGGCACUGGGGCUACAAAGACCCUCAUGCCAAACUGUCUGUUGUCUACCUGGUAUCAGUGAGCCUUCUUCUACACCCUCUUCCACAUCCCAGGAGUCCCAUAUCUGCAGGGUUCCAA
This 2273-nucleotide long non-coding RNA is filed under the name Homo sapiens (human). Its description in RNAcentral is "HSALNT0329600". The record is from RNAcentral. Lineage: Eukaryota; Metazoa; Chordata; Mammalia; Primates; Hominidae.